UGGGGAAUAUUGCACAAUGGGCGCAAGCCUGAUGCAGCCAUGCCGCGUGUAUGAAGAAGGCCUUCGGGUUGUAAAGUACUUUCAGCGGGGAGGAAGGGAGUAAAGUUAAUACCUUUGCUCAUUGACGUUACCCGCAGAAGAAGCACCGGCUAACUCCGUGCCAGCAGCCGCGGUAAUACGGAGGGUGCAAGCGUUAAUCGGAAUUACUGGGCGUAAAGCGCACGCAGGCGGUUUGUUAAGUCAGAUGUGAAAUCCCCGGGCUCAACCUGGGAACUGCAUCUGAUACCGGCAAGCUUGAGUCUCGUAGAGGGGGGUAGAAUUCCAGGUGUAGCGGUGAAAUGCGUAGAGAUCUGGAGGAAUACCGGUGGCGAAGGCGGCCCCCUGGACGAAGACUGACGCUCAGGUGCGAAAGCGUGGGGAGCAAACAGG
Molecule: ribosomal RNA, 429 nt
Filed under: Chloroflexota bacterium
Lineage: Bacteria; Bacillati; Chloroflexota
Description: Chloroflexi bacterium partial 16S ribosomal RNA
Rfam family: Bacterial small subunit ribosomal RNA
Source: RNAcentral